GUCCCUUUAAUCCUAAUUCUUCAGGUCUCCACAUCCUGCGUUAUCAGCCAGAGAGCCUGAGGCCCUGGAUCGUUGCCCGCAACAGGCAGGAAGGGGAGAAGGCCCCCCAGCAUUUCAGAGCAGGACCAUAUACUCGGGGUUCUGUGCUGAACCCCAUAUUUUCUGGCAUCGCCCCUUGCAAUGGCCCCAGUUCUGCACACACCUUGGGACCCCAAGGGCUGAGCGGAGCCCUGUGUCCUGGGGAGUCCGAUGCCCACACUGACACAAAGGUUCCCUCCUCUCUCCUGUAGGGGGCGCUCCAGGGGGGAAGUGGGCGUUGCAGGAAAUGUAAUGCCUCAGUCAGACUGACUAGGAACCAUGGGAGCUCAGAAUUCUCCUCCUGUUUCUGAUGCCCAGAAGCCUGUUCUAGGAGAGAACUCAUUCCUUCCCAAUCCCGUCAUGGAUUCCUGGCUCUUAUGUUGGGACACACAGAACCUGAAGUCAGGGAGACCCCCAGCCACCAGGUCACAGAGAUGGGGACGAGAGUAAUCCUGAGACGUGACCCAAUUUAUGGGUUCUGUACAUUGGUACAGACAGAUCCUGGGACAGAAAGUGGAGUUUCUAGUUUUAUUCUACAAGGAUAAUCUCUUGGAGAAGUCUGAAACAAUCAAGGAUCGAUCCUCAGGUCAAAGGCCUGAUGGAUCAUUCUCCACUCUGCGGAUCCAGCCCACAGAGCUGGGAGAUUCAGCCACGUACCUCUGUGCCAGCAGCUCAGCCACAGCCUUGCACAGACACCUCCAGCCUGCACACAAACCCUCAUGCAUCUGCCUCUUUUCCAGCUACCAGAAUGCUUUUGCUGCCCAAGAAAGUCUGAUUUGACUUGUUUUUUCAGCUGUUUCCAAAUAGAUAUCUGAAAUUUAAUCACCAAAGUAGUUUAUCUUUGGCAGGAAUGGCCAGGGAGCAUUUUUUGCCAAAUUUUUAUAGACACUACAGGGCUUGACUGUGGCCUCCAAAGAUGGGAGCGUUGUUGCCCGGGAAAAGACCAUCACAUGGCCUAUGUCUUCUCUUUACUUCCUUUUGCAUCUUGGAUUUUGUUUUGUUUUAGUAGCUUAGAAAAAACCAUUUUAACUCAUAGAAUCAGAAAUGGUUCUCGAGGAAGGGCUUUAGUAUUUCCGUAAGAGUAUAGAGGAUUUCCAACAGUGAAUCUUCAGAAGGACGUGCAGUUCAGCAUAAGGGCCUGGACUGUUGAGUCUUUCCCAGUAAGUACUUGAUGCGUUUGGGGAAAUGCUGUUAACUCACAUGAGAAUGAGUUAAGAGAACAGUAACAAUGGAGUCCGCUAUUGGGACAAGGCCAACAGAGGUCUAAACCAGUGAGAGAACCACCAGAAUAUAGCAGGACAGGGCAGGAUCGAAUUCAGCAGCAAAAAUCAAGUAGCAUCUAGAAGCAGAGCAUGAAUGAACUUGUCACCCUGAACUUGACAUGGGGCAUCCAGAUUAACUUCCUGGGUUUUGAGUAAGAUCUCAGUGUUCUUGAAGGCCUGGAGCAGGAAAGGCAGAGUGAAGACUUCAAUAGAAAAGAAUGAAUUUCCUCAUAAUAAGUCAGGAUGAGCUCAAGCAAUGAAUAGAGGCGAAAAAAGUGUGAGCAGAUCAUAUCAGUUAUAAACACAUGAAAUAUUCAUUUACUCAAGUUAUAUCCAUGCCAGCACCACCAUCUACAGGGUCUUCUACAGGGUCAUCUACAGCACCACCAUCUACAGAAUGACUUUCCUCCUGACAUGAAUCCCACCAACUUUGCAGACCAAAGGAUCCCAUUUUACAGCUAAGGAAAUGAAAUCAUGGACCUGUAGUGGUGGGAUCCAUUCUUGUUUUCAUGUACUACGUCCUUCUACAAGGUAGAAGCAUCUUACCUUGUAGAAAUGAAGAAAGGACCUAGUAAAGAUUUGGCUAAGGGGCUAGCUCAGAUAUAAUACCCUCAAGCUGAGGAGAUACUUUCUAGGAUGUGGUAUGACUUGUACAGAGGGCUGAGAUAUGGAACUAUGUACUCAAUCCAUGAAUCCAGAAGCCAAAGGGUGGGGGGAGGAUGGGUAUCCCUCUCAUUACCACCCCCAGUGAUCCAGCUGCAAAUCCAGGCUUCUUUUCCCUGUAUUUUUAGGGUCUUCUAGAUAAAAAGUUCUGAUUCUUUAAGACAGGGGUGCUUCCACCACAGGACAUAUGAACAUAAACUAUGACUGUACCUGGUCAUUUGGGGCUCCUUUUGAUGGAAGCCCAAUAGGUAAGGAUGGAGGUAUUGAUCUUGACUAUCAUGAGGUGACAGAGUUGCUCCUACAUAAUGGAAACAGGGAAAGGUUUACCUGGAAUUCAGAGAACUAGUUCAAACAUCUCUUGGUGCCUAAAUUCCUGGUGAUAAUGAAAGUUCUGCAACUGCAACCAUUUUGGCCUGACAAAGUAAAUGUACCUAAGGGACUCAAAACCCUCAGAGACGAAUGUCUGGGUCACCCCACAAAACAAACAUCUUAGACCACAGAAGUGCUAAGCAAAGUUGGAGAAAUCUAGAAUUGGUGAUAAGGGAGAUAAUAAAUCUCAGUAAUGGCUUUGUGUACAGUAAGAGCAGCAGUCCUAUAGCCCUAACCCUGUAUUUGUACAGAUUGCAGCUGAACCCCACCUUGAAGACCUUAUUAUUUGGACUUGAAACAAUGUAGGGUGUAGGCUAUUUGAAAUGCCUCGAUUGUAUCACCACCUAUCUUCCUGGCUCCCCCCCUGAUUCCAGCCACAACUAUUUCAUGCAGCUAUUCCAAGCAGACAUUGACCCCUUCAUAUGGAUUGAACCUCCUCUUAAAUAUGGGCAGUGUAUCUAGCUUUCUUCCUGAAGUGCUCUGUGGCUGUGGUUGAGACACAUGAAUGGCCUACUAGAAGCUUAUACAUGCACGACCCAGAAGUGUCAGGGUGUUAAUGCUCUAUGGGACAAUCCUCCACCGAUGGGGGGAUGAGAACGAAUAAAUAAAGCUUUGUGUCUGUCUCAGACUCCCUAGAAAGUUCUAGAUUGACGAGCAGCCAUUUAUCUAUAAUGAUGGCCCAAUUCAUAUACAUAUUUUUCAUAUUGUCCAUCCUUUUUGUUUCUGUGCAUGAUUUGGCCUCGAUAUCUCCAUCUGACUUAUCUUCCACUUUUCCUAUUCUUUCCAGCUGUAUCUGUUCUGCUUUUAACCCCAUAUAUUGAAUUGUUAAUCAUAGGUAUUUUGUAUAUUUUGUUUCUACAGUCUCCAUUUAAAUGUUUACUAUAGUUUCCAGUUGUCCACUAAAAUUCUCCAUUUGUCAUUCACUUUGUUGAAUAUAUUAUCGACCAGUUAUUUUAAUAUCAGUGUCUGACAACUCCAUCUGAAUCAUUUUGGCUCUGUUUCUUUUUUUUUUUUUUUUGUAAUUUUUUUUAAUGUUUAUGUAGUUUUGAGAGACAGAGAGAAACAGAGCACGAGUGGGGAAGGAGGAGAGAGACAGGGAGACACAGGAUCCGAAGCAGGCUCCAGGCUCUGAGCUGUCAGCACAGAGCCCGAUGUGGGGCUCCAACCUACGAACCAUGAGAUCAUGACCUGAGCCGACAGCGGCGCUUAACCGACUGAGACACCCAGCCGCCCCUGUUUCUUUUUUUUUAAGUUCGUUUUAUUUAUUUUGAGAGAGAGAGAGAUAGAGAGCAAGUGGGGGAGGGGCAGAGAGAGAGGGAGACAGAAUCCUAAGCGGGCUCCAUUCUGUCAUCACAAAAUCCAUUGGGGGCUCAAAAUCACAAACCAUGAGAUCGUGACCUGAGCUGAAGCCAAGAGUCAGAUGCUUAACCAACUUAGCCACCCAGGCACCCCUUGGGUCUUUUUCUUUUGUUGGUUUUCUCUUCUUGCUUUUGGCCAUGUGAUGUUGUUUCCUCACACAAUAGAUAAUGUGUUUGAAAGCUAGAUAUUGUAUAUGAAAAACUAUAGAUAUAAUCUCAAGUACUGAAUGGUAUAUUUUCCUGUAGAGAGGAUUCCUUUUUGCUUAAGCUAGGAUAUAUUGGAAGAGGCAAAUCUUUUUUUUUUUUUAAUUUUUAAUGUUUAUUUAUUUUUGAGAGAGAGGGAGACAGACAAAGUGUGAACAAGGGAGGAGCAGAGAGAGGGAGACACAGAAUCCGAAACAGGCUCUGAGCUGUCAGCACAGAGCCCGACGCCGGGCCCGAACUCACAAACGGUGAGAUCAUGACCUGAGCCGAAGUCAGACGCUCAACCGACUGAGCCACCCAGAUGCCCCCAGAUCUUCUUACUCUGGUUGAUAAUUGAGCUGGAUUGAAGCUAAGCUUUAGUUUUUUUGAUGGCUGUUCACUUUUGCUCCUAGUAUGUGAUGAUUUAGGUUCCAAACUAAACGUCUGGAGUAUUUUUACUUUAUUAAAGUAUAAUUUGCAUAACAUAAUAUUUACCUGUUUCAAGUGUACAACUCAGUGACUUUAAAUAAAUUUAUGCACUGGCCAACUAUCACCAUGAAUCA
This is a long non-coding RNA of Neofelis nebulosa (Clouded leopard), 4476 nucleotides long. RefSeq lists it as uncharacterized. The record is from RefSeq and is a predicted model, not a curated record. NCBI's taxonomy places the organism in Eukaryota, Metazoa, Chordata, Mammalia, Carnivora, Felidae. The transcript has 2 exons.